Oncorhynchus gorbuscha (pink salmon) is the source of this 1226-nucleotide long non-coding RNA. RefSeq lists it as uncharacterized. NCBI's taxonomy places the organism in Eukaryota, Metazoa, Chordata, Actinopteri, Salmoniformes, Salmonidae. The transcript is spliced from 3 exons. The record is from RefSeq and is a predicted model, not a curated record.
CUGAGGACAGAGGAGAGAGCAGAAUAGAGUGGACAGUGAAUUGUUAUCAGGGGACCUUAGGCAGAAUGUUCUUCUGACCCAAAACUGACUGAAAAAGUUGUGGGUCUGUUUUCUUCAGAAGAAGGUUGUCUUUGCUUGUAUAUGCUAGGAGAUUUGAUCAUUGUAAGGAUCCCCUUCCCCACGUCUACUACUCUGAUGGUCAUCCACCUUUUCGCCUCGACGGCAGUCUUCCUCCUUCUCCACUCCCUUGCAGUCACACACACCUUCCUCAGACCCAGUCUGCGUGCACAUAAUGACAGUUUUAGUGUUUGGCAUGUACACAUUUCUCAUAUAGAAAUAUAAGAACAAACUCAGUCACUACUACACCUUUACAUGUGUGUUUUUGAUUGAAAAGUAGCCUUAACGAGCCCUUUUAAUCCACAGAUCCAGCUGACAUGCCUGUUCCAUGGCUUCAGAUUGAGGCUACAGAGUGUGAAGGUGAACUGAAAGCUGAGGAUCAAUGGCCUCUGAGGACAAAGGACCAGUAGAUGACGGUGAUGGAGGUGUUGACAACAACGAUGCCGAUCAUGAUGGGGUGCAUCAUGGUGACUGAGGUGUUGAGCUCACAACUGAAGAUGCACACAUACUGUACAUCACACGAACAAUGUCUUUCCCCUGAUCCGGGUUAUGAAAAGAGUAUGUUUGUACUGUUAAGUGGCUAAAUUCCCAAUCUAACCCUCAAACCGUCACAGUCACCUAAUAAUCCCCAGUUUAUGAUUGGCUCAUUCAUCCCCCUCUCCCCUGUAACCAUUCCCCAGGGCGUUGCUGUAAAUUAGAACGUGUUCUCAAUCAACUUACCUAGUAAAAUAAUGGAAAAAAUAAAGUGUAAAUGCUACAUUUUCAUUCCAUUUGUAAUCUUUGUCAAAGCACAGAGGAUAUCAAUGUGUUUCAGUGUGAAUGAGAAAGCUGAAGGGAAAUAACUUGUAGAGUAUUUCCAAAUUCAUAUGACCCUAUUAUUAAUGUCUCUGAUGGCGGAGUAUGAGUGGCUGUGUGGAUUAGCCAUCAUGAUGCAAUACCUCUGACUGGGCUAGAACACAGGCAAGCUACUGCCAUGAAAGUGCUAACCGACACCAUUGUUGUAUUGUCUCAAUGUUAUUACCUAAGCCUUUAUUUUCAUUUGAGAUUAAAAAUAAAUGCGAAUGACAAGAGCAGAAAAGUGGAUUAACAAUCUUGAUUGACCAAUCAGG